RNAcentral lists this ribosomal RNA (440 nucleotides) under uncultured bacterium. RNAcentral describes it as "partial 16S ribosomal RNA". It matches the Rfam family "Bacterial small subunit ribosomal RNA", at positions 338 to 795 of the family's 1533-position model. The record is from RNAcentral.
CCUACGGGAGGCUGCAGUGGGGGAUAUUGCACAAUGGGGGGAACCCUGAUGCAGCGACGCCGCGUGGGUGAAGAAGCGCCUCGGCGCGUAAAGCCCUGUCAGCAGGGAAGAAAAUGACGGUACCUGAAGAAGAAGCACCGGCUAACUACGUGCCAGCAGCCGCGGUAAUACGUAGGGGGCAAGCGUUAUCCGGAAUUACUGGGUGUAAAGGGGGCGCAGCCGGCGAUGCAAGCCAGGAGUGAAAGCCCGGGGCCCAACCCCGGGACUGCGCUUGGAACUGCGUGGCUAGAGUGCAGGAGGGGCAGGCGGAAUUCCUGGUGUAGCGGUGAAAUGCGUAGAUAUCAGGAGGAACACCGGUGGCGAAGGCGGCCUGCUGGACUGCAACUGACGUUGAGGCCCGAAAGCGUGGGGAGCAAACAGGAUUAGAUACCCUAGUAGUC